RNAcentral lists this ribosomal RNA (497 nucleotides) under uncultured bacterium. RNAcentral describes it as "partial 16S ribosomal RNA". It matches the Rfam family "Bacterial small subunit ribosomal RNA", at positions 28 to 507 of the family's 1533-position model. The record is from RNAcentral.
GACGAACGCUGGCGGCGUGCCUAAUACAUGCAAGUUGAGCGCUGAAGGUUGGUACUUGUACCGACUGGAUGAGCAGCGAACGGGUGAGUAACGCGUGGGGAAUCUGCCUUUGAGCGGGGGACAACAUUUGGAAACGAAUGCUAAUACCGCAUAAAAACUUUAAACACAAGUUUUAAGUUUGAAAGAUGCAAUUGCAACACUCAAAGAUGAUCCCGCGUUGUAUUAGCUAGUUGGUGAGGUAAAGGCCCACCAAGGCGAUGAUACAUAGCCGACCUGAGAGGGUGAUCGGCCACAUUGGGACUGAGACACGGCCCAAACUCCUACGGGAGGCAGCAGUAGGGAAUCUUCGGCAAUGGACGAAAGUCUGACCGAGCAACGCCGCGUGAGUGAAGAAGGUUUUCGGAUCGUAAAACUCUGUUGGUAGAGAAGAACGUUGGUGAGAGUGGAAAGCUCAUCAAGUGACGGUAACUACCCAGAAAGGGACGGCUAACUACGUG